GAUUAACGCUAGCGGCAGGCCUAAUACAUGCAAGUCGAGGGGCAGCAGGGUGUAGCAAUACAUCGCUGGCGACCGGCGCACGGGUGCGUAACACGUAUGCAACCUGCCUUCAACAAGGGGAUAACCCGUUGAAAGACGGACUAAUACCCUAUAACACAGGGGUCCCGCAUGGGAAUAUUUGUUAAAGGACAACCGGUUGAAGAUGGGCAUGCGUUCCAUUAGCUAGUUGGCGGGGUAACGGCCCACCAAGGCAACGAUGGAUAGGGGAACUGAGAGGUUUAUCCCCCACACUGGUACUGAGACACGGACCAGACUCCUACGGGAGGCAGCAGUGAGGAAUAUUGGUCAAUGGACGCAAGUCUGAACCAGCCACGUCGCGUGAAGGAAGACGGCCCUACGGGUUGUAAACUUCUUUUAACGGGAAUAAAGUGCCCCACGCGUGGGUUUGCAUGUACCGUAUGAAUAAGGAUCGGCUAACUCCGUGCCAGCAG
This 491-nucleotide ribosomal RNA is filed under the name uncultured bacterium. RNAcentral describes it as "bacterial SSU rRNA". It matches the Rfam family "Bacterial small subunit ribosomal RNA", at positions 28 to 514 of the family's 1533-position model. The record is from RNAcentral.